UGGGGAAUAUUGCACAAUGGGCGCAAGCCUGAUGCAGCGACGCCGCGUGGGGGAUGACGGCCUUCGGGUUGUAAACUCCUUUCGCCAGGGACGAAGCGUUUUGUGACGGUACCUGGAGAAGAAGCACCGGCUAACUACGUGCCAGCAGCCGCGGUAAUACGUAGGGUGCAAGCGUUGUCCGGAAUUACUGGGCGUAAAGAGCUCGUAGGUGGUUUGUCGCGUCGUCUGUGAAAUUCCACAGCUUAACUGUGGGCGUGCAGGCGAUACGGGCAUAACUUGAGUACUGUAGGGGUAACUGGAAUUCCUGGUGUAGCGGUGAAAUGCGCAGAUAUCAGGAGGAACACCGAUGGCGAAGGCAGGUUACUGGGCAGUUACUGACGCUGAGGAGCGAAAGCAUGGGUAGCAAACAGGAUUAGAUACCCUGGUAGUCCAUGCCGUAAACGAUGGGCGCUAGGUGUAGGGGCCUUUUGGGGUUUCUGUGCCGUAGCUAACGCAUUAAGCGCCCCGCCUGGGGAGUACGGCCGCAAGGCUA
RNAcentral lists this ribosomal RNA (532 nucleotides) under uncultured bacterium. RNAcentral's name for it is "bacterial SSU rRNA". It matches the Rfam family "Bacterial small subunit ribosomal RNA", at positions 355 to 896 of the family's 1533-position model. The record is from RNAcentral.